Molecule: ribosomal RNA, 497 nt
Filed under: uncultured bacterium
Lineage: Bacteria
Description: partial 16S ribosomal RNA
Rfam family: Bacterial small subunit ribosomal RNA
Source: RNAcentral
GAUGAACGCUGGCGGCGUGCCUAAUACAUGCAAGUCGAGCGAACAGACGAGGAGCUUGCUCCUCUGACGUUAGCGGCGGACGGGUGAGUAACACGUGGAUAACCUACCUAUAAGACUGGGAUAACUUCGGGAAACCGGAGCUAAUACCGGAUAAUAUAUUGAACCGCAUGGUUCAAUAGUGAAAGACGGUUUUGCUGUCACUUAUAGAUGGAUCCGCGCCGCAUUAGCUAGUUGGUAAGGUAACGGCUUACCAAGGCGACGAUGCGUAGCCGACCUGAGAGGGUGAACGCCCACACGGAGACUGAGCCCCGGUCCAGACCCCUAGGGGGGGCAACAGUAGGGAAUCUUCCGCAGAGGGCGAAAGCCUGAGGGAGCAACGGCGUGUGGGUGAUGAAGGUCUUGGUAUAGAAAAACUCUUUUAUGGGGGAAGAAAAAAUGUGUAAAUAACUAUGCCCGUCUUGAGGGUACAAAAACAAAAAGCCCCGGCUAACUACGGC